UACGUAGGGGCAAGCGUUAUCCGGAUUUACUGGGUGUAAAGGGAGCGCAGACGGAACUGCAAGUCUGAUGUGAAAGCCCGGGGCUCAACCGCGGGACUGCAUCGGAUACUGUAGAUCUGGAGUGCCGGAGGGGCAAGCGGAAUUCCUGGUGUAGCGGUGAAAUGCGUAGAUAUCAGGAGGAACACCGGCUGCGAAGGCGGCUUGCUGGACGGCAACUGACGUUGAGGCUCGAAAGCGUGGGGAGCAAACAGGAUUAGAUA
This 260-nucleotide ribosomal RNA is filed under the name uncultured prokaryote. Its description in RNAcentral is "partial 16S ribosomal RNA". It matches the Rfam family "Bacterial small subunit ribosomal RNA", at positions 524 to 784 of the family's 1533-position model. The record is from RNAcentral.